Molecule: long non-coding RNA, 1265 nt
Filed under: Ovis aries (sheep)
Lineage: Eukaryota; Metazoa; Chordata; Mammalia; Artiodactyla; Bovidae
Description: lncRNA (ENSOARG00000026365.1)
Source: RNAcentral
AUGAGAGUUGAGCCAGAGGAACCCAGGGUGUGCUUUGAUGCCUCCUGGAUGUGCCAGCCAGCACCUCCUCCGUCUCCUGCAGUGCCCAUGGGAAGGCUGACCCCCCCCCCAGUCACAGCCACACAGAGGCAGGCAGGACAAAGUUGUGUGUGUACGGGGUGUCUGCUCUCAGGCUCCCGAAUGAGCCUGGGUCUCUACUGGCCUCUGGGCCUGCGAGCACCAUGGCUCCACCUCCCCAUACCCUCCUUACUCCACUUUCCCUUCCCCCUUAGGUUCGAACGAUACAGGUCAGGCCGAUCUGCUCAAAAUGCCACUAAUGGGGUGCUGAGCGAAGUGACAGAGGACAACCUCAUAGACCUGGGCCCAGGGUCUCCAGCCGUGGUGAGCCCGACUGUGGGGAGCACAGCACCCCCAUCUUCCCUUUCCUCCCAGCUCGCCGGCUUGGACCUGGGUACGGAGAGUGUCAGCGGCACCCUGAGCUCGCUGCAGCAGUGCCAGCCCCAGGAUAGCUUCGAUGUGUUCGCCCAGACCAGAGGGAGUGCCUCGGCUGAGCAGCGCAACCCGCCCACCUACGAGGACCCCCAGGCUAUUGGAGUACCUGCUGUGGCAGCUGAUGGUCGGAAACAGAGCUCCGAAGUGAAGAGAGGUAAAGGUGGGGACUCCGCCCUGGAGCCCAUAGACAGCUGGCUCAUAGCCCAAGGAAUGAUCCCCGUGGUGCAGCCCUCGGUCAUGGACGACAUUGAGGUGUGGCUCAGGACCGACCUGAAGGGUGAUGACUUGGAGGAGGGCGUCACGAGCGAAGAGUUCGAUAAAUUCCUUGAAGAAAGGGCCAAAGCUGCUGAAAUGGUUCCCAGCCUCCCCUCUCCCCCAGCGGACACUCCAGCCCCAGCCUCGAAUCCCUCAGGCCGGAAGAAGCCAGAGCGGUCAGAGGAUGCCCUCUUUGCUCUGUGAGCUGUCCUGUGGUUGGGCCCCCCCAUGGCAGGUCACCUCUCACCCCUGGUCCACACCAGGCUCUGGCCACUUCUCCCAUCCCCCGCCCCUACUUGGUCCUGCGCUGCUGUGUCUCCAUGGAAACACCACUGUGUUUGCUCCCAGGCCUCCCACUCGUUGGGCCCAGCUUUAGCCACCUUUUCUUUGAGAGGUGGGACAAUGUCGCUGCAGCUGCAGACCCUCAGCCUCUGCCCUCCUGCUCCCUCUGCCUAUUUCCUCCAGGAAAAGCUGGUGGGGUCUGCCCCCCCCCCCCCCCCCGCCCCCCCUGUACGCGC